GAAUAUUGCACAAUGGGCGAAAGCCUGAUGCAGCGACGCCGCGUGAGGGAUGACGGCCUUCGGGUUGUAAACCUCUUUCAGCAGGGAAGAAGCGAAAGUGACGGUACCUGCAGACGAAGCGCCGGCUAACUACGUGCCAGCAGCCGCGGUAAUACGUAGGGCGCGAGCGUUGUCCGGAAUUAUUGGGCGUAAAGAGCUCGUAGGCGGCUUGUCACGUCGGUUGUGAAAGCCCGGGGCUUAACCCCGGGUCUGCAGUCGAUACGGGCAGGCUAGAGUUCGGUAGGGGAGAUCGGAAUUCCUGGUGUAGCGGUGAAAUGCGCAGAUAUCAGGAGGAACACCGGUGGCGAAGGCGGAUCUCUGGGCCGAUACUGACGCUGAGGAGCGAAAGCGUGGGGAGCGAACAG
Molecule: ribosomal RNA, 404 nt
Filed under: uncultured bacterium
Lineage: Bacteria
Description: bacterial SSU rRNA
Rfam family: Bacterial small subunit ribosomal RNA
Source: RNAcentral